AAAAGACCCUGAUGCUAGGAAAGAUUGAGGGCGGGAGGAGAAGCGGGUGACAGAGGAUGAGAUGGUUGGAUGGCAGCACUGAUUCAAUGGACAUGACUUUGAGCAAACUCCAGGAGACAGUGAAGGACAGAGAAACCUGGUGUACUGCAGUCUAUGUGGUUGCAGAGUCAGACACAGCUUAGCAACUGAACAACAACCAGUAACAAAGACAUAAGGAUGGCUCUGGCAAAAGGCAACCAGGACACCUGCCACCUGCCCCUCUCAAUGUCCCUAAUGGGGUACCACCCCAAAGCCCUAGUGGUGGUCAGUGUGGCUAGUUCCUUUUCAAUUAGUGCUCAGAUUUUGGAAGCAAGUCUAAGUGAAAUUUCUCUUCCUGGUAUUAACAAAUCAUUGAAGCCCUCCUUUUCAGGAAAUCCUCAGGACCCAAAGGAGCAAGCCUGGUGCCCUUAGUGAUAGAAUUUCGGGCAAGGGAGUAGACCUAGUGGAGGCAGACUUUUUUCUCUCCUCAACAAAAAAUCCAAAUUUCCAUGGGGUUACUUGGCCUUUCCUCCUUGAGUUACAGAUUUAGUCCAUGCCAGUCUCUUUCAAAUUAAAGCUCUCUUCAAAUGUAUGAUUGUCUGGCCAGCUCCUGGAACACAGCAAAGGUAUUCAUCUCCAGAAGACUUAUCUCAGCAAGCUCUCUCGUUAAUGACCAUGCUCCUCGCCCACAAGGCCUUGGCAGUGACUAGCGACACAGGUGGCCCACAAGGCUGUGGAGUAGGAUCGCAACCUUCGGAUCUGUCUUAGACUUUGUCAGCUGGGAGAGGAGCCCAAACUGAAGCCAGCAGCUGCCUGUCAAGGGAAGGAGCGCCUGCAGUGCCUCUGAGUUCCAGGCUGUGCUUCAAAAGCGGCUGCCAGCCCAAGGUGUGAGGCCAUACCAGUGGAGCCAGAAGCAGCUUUGCUGACUCUGCUCUGCUUCAAGGCUGCUUAGGGACCCUAAGCUGCUUGGGGAGUGAAUUCUGUCCUGCAUGUGCCUCUGGGGAAUUUGGGUGAUAGGAGGAGUAGGAUUUGGGACUAAUGAUACAGUCAGUUCCCUAUUGCUCCAGCUUGUUUUGUUUUGGGUUUUUUUUUUUUUUUUCCCAGCAAAUAUAACUAUAGACAGUAGUUUUAAGAUGUUUUAACUGCUCCAAAGUUGCUUUCUUCCAAAAAUUGGACUGUAUGUUGCUGAGAAGGCAUUCAAAGUCAUUCCCAGUAUACAUCUGGCUUGAGUCCUGCCCUCACUUCAUCUGCCUACUGGUGAUUGGGCCAAACUUUUGUUUUUAAUCAAUUUUUAUUGGAAGACAGUUGCUUUGAGCUUCCCUGGUAGCUCAGUGACCAAGUUCCUACCUGCAGCACCCAGGGUAGGUAGUCUUCCCAACAGGUAGCUUUGCUCAUCCUCGGAGCCAAGACAGUGGUGCAGUCUGACCAGGUAACUCCGUGAGGAGUAGCUCUCGGCCUGCUUGGAUCCUCAGACAAGAUGUGCUGGGCACUGGAGCUUGGCCUGCCACUGCCCAGACAGAGAGGCUGAGUCAUAGCCUAGCCUACUGCUGAGUGUACAUGACCAGGAACACCUGGGGGACU
This is a long non-coding RNA of Bos taurus (domestic cattle), 1599 nucleotides long. The record is from Ensembl. NCBI's taxonomy places the organism in Eukaryota, Metazoa, Chordata, Mammalia, Artiodactyla, Bovidae.